RNAcentral lists this ribosomal RNA (304 nucleotides) under uncultured bacterium. Its description in RNAcentral is "partial 16S ribosomal RNA". It matches the Rfam family "Bacterial small subunit ribosomal RNA", at positions 506 to 807 of the family's 1533-position model. The record is from RNAcentral.
CAGCAGCCGCCGCGGUAAUGCGUAGGUGGCAAGCGUUGUCCGGAAUUAUUGGGCGUAAAGGGCUCGCAGGCGGUUUCUUAAGUCUGAUGUGAAAGCCCCCGGCUCAACCGGGGAGGGUCAUCGGAAACUGGGAAACUUGAGUGCGGAAGAGGAGAGUGGAAUUCCACGUGUAGCGGUGAAAUGCGUAGAGAUGUGGAGGAACACCAGUGGCGAAGGCGACUCUCUGGUCUGUAACUGACGCUGAGGAGCGAAAGCGUGGGGAGCGAACAGGAUUAGAUACCCCUGUAGUCCCUGUCUCUUAUAC